This 85-nucleotide transfer RNA is filed under the name Nitratifractor sp. Its description in RNAcentral is "tRNA-Leu". It matches the Rfam family "tRNA". From Rfam's summary of the family: Transfer RNA (tRNA) molecules are approximately 80 nucleotides in length. The record is from RNAcentral. Lineage: Bacteria; Pseudomonadati; Campylobacterota; Epsilonproteobacteria; Campylobacterales; Sulfurovaceae.
GCGGAUGUGGUGGAACUGGCAGACACGCUAGACUUAGGAUCUAGUGCCGUAAGGCGUGGAGGUUCGACUCCUCUCAUCCGCACCA